AUAUGAUGUUGAGGACAUGUAGCACACAGCUUGUUGAAUCUCUCCCAGUACUCAUACAAAGUCUCUCCAUUCAGUUGCCUUAUACCACAAAUCUCUUUCCUAAUUGU
This is a non-coding RNA of Cajanus cajan (pigeon pea), 107 nucleotides long. NCBI's taxonomy places the organism in Eukaryota, Viridiplantae, Streptophyta, Magnoliopsida, Fabales, Fabaceae. The record is from Rfam.